Unclassified non-coding RNA from Callithrix jacchus (white-tufted-ear marmoset), 299 nucleotides. It matches the Rfam family "Metazoan signal recognition particle RNA". From Rfam's summary of the family: The signal recognition particle (SRP) is a universally conserved ribonucleoprotein. It is involved in the co-translational targeting of proteins to membranes. The record is from Ensembl. Lineage: Eukaryota; Metazoa; Chordata; Mammalia; Primates; Cebidae.
GCUGGGCAUGGUGGCACAUGCCUGUAGUCCCAGCUACUUGGGAGGCUGAGGUGGGAGGAUUGCUUGAGCCCAGGAGUUCUGGGCUGUAGUGCACUAUGCCAAUCAGGUGUCCGCACUAAGUUCAGCAUCUAUAUGGUGACCUCCCAGGAGCAGAGGACCACCAGGUUGCCUAAGGAAGGAGGAACCGGCCGAGGUCGGAAAUGACACAGUCAAAACUCCCCUGCUGAUCAGUAGUGGGAUCUCACCUGUGAAGAGCCACUGCACUCCAACCUGGGCAACAUAUCGAGACCUGGUCUCUU